Molecule: ribosomal RNA, 253 nt
Filed under: uncultured bacterium
Lineage: Bacteria
Description: partial 16S ribosomal RNA
Rfam family: Bacterial small subunit ribosomal RNA
Source: RNAcentral
UACGGAGGGUGCGAACGUUAAUCGGAAUCACUGGGCGUAAAGCGCGCGUAGGCGGUCUGUUAAGUGGGAUGUGAAAUCCCCGGGCUUAACCUGGGAAUUGCAUUUCAAACUGGCCGACUAGAGUACGGUAGAGGGAGGUAGAAUUUCCUGUGUAGCGGUGAAAUGCGUAGAUAUAGGAAGGAAUACCAGUGGCGAAGGCGGCCUCCUGGAUCGACACUGACACUGAGAGACGAAAGCUAGGGGAGCGAAUGGG